GGUUGCGAUCAUCCCAGCACUAAUGCACCGGAUCCCAUCAGAACUCCGCAGUUAAGCGUGCUUGGGCGAGAGUAAUACUAGGAUGGGUGACCUCCUGGGAAGUCCUCGUGUUGCAACCC
Molecule: ribosomal RNA, 119 nt
Filed under: Helianthus annuus (common sunflower)
Lineage: Eukaryota; Viridiplantae; Streptophyta; Magnoliopsida; Asterales; Asteraceae
Source: RNAcentral